Molecule: non-coding RNA, 1020 nt
Organism: Osmia lignaria (orchard mason bee)
Lineage: Eukaryota; Metazoa; Arthropoda; Insecta; Hymenoptera; Megachilidae
Source: RefSeq, a predicted model, not a curated record
CACGUUGCGCCAACGAACUUUGUGCUACGAAUAAAACGCGUAUCAACGAUUUCAUACAAGAUUAAUAGUAAUUUGAUUACAGAAAGAUUUGUCCAUUUAUUUUAGCAAAAAACUAAUUAAGUUAUAACUUGAAAAAAAAAUAAGAACUACUGGGGAUUGAUAGACCCCACUUACUAAUCUCAGGUUAAAACAAUCAUUACACACAUAAUUAUUAAUUACAAUAUAUCAUUUAGUUCAUACAUUGAAUAAUGUACGAACAACGAAAAGAAAUAUUAUUGGACCAAUGCUUAGCGGUUAAAUAUUUAGGAUUUUAAAUAGGGGACUGAAAGAUCCUUGAACUUGUUUAAAAGUUCAUUAACAUCAACUAAUCUGCUCAAAACGAAAAUGUAAAUAGAACCGAUACAUAUUUGUGUACACCGUUCAGCUUCCUUCUUUCGCAUCUACUGACUACCGGUUCUACAUAUAGGUCCACGAAUUCGCGAGUCCUUGUAAACAGACGUUUCACAGGACAGUGUUUCCUUGAUCGUCGUGCCGGUAAGACGUAUAAGGACAUGUCCGUGUUUCAACGAAUAAAUUAUAUCAAGACGAGUUGAAGCUUUGAAUCGUUCCGAGUUUGGCGGUGAAAAUCUUCGAUCGAUGUUGACUGCCAUCCCCUCUUCACUGGAUCCUGAAUCCUCCCUCAGGAUCAUCCCUGGUCCAAUGGUGGAGGAGCCCAUCUCUGUCCGGAGGCGGUCCCUCUCCCUGGCUUCGGUCCACCCUUAGGCGAGUGGAAGAUGGUGAUACUCUGCCAAGACUCGAGAACGAUUCUGUGCACACGUGCUAAGAGAAAGCGUGGGAUCCAGAGAAAACGGAAGAUAAAGAGGUCUCGCGCUAACGAGCCAAGGCAACCCUUAAGAGAAUUUACGACCCUUUGUAAAUAAACAGGAUGUCGAAGAGACUUCGACAGUCUCAAGAACCAACAUGAUUUUCGUUAAGAGUAACGAAUUAGAUACGGCCCGUAAUAAAUUAGUUUCUUAGAAA